UACGUAGGUGGCAAGCGUUGUUCGGAAUUAUUGGGCGUAAAGAGCUUGUAGGCGGUUUGUCGCGUCUGCUGUGAAAUUUCGGGGCUCAACCCCGAACUUGCAGUGGGUACGGGCAGACUAGAGUGUGGUAGGGGAGACUGGAAUUCCUGGUGUAGCGGUGAAAUGCGCAGAUAUCAGGAGGAACACCGAUGGCGAAGGCAGGUCUCUGGGCCAUAACUGACGCUGAGAAGCGAAAGCAUGGGGAGCGAACAGG
This 253-nucleotide ribosomal RNA is filed under the name uncultured bacterium. Its description in RNAcentral is "partial 16S ribosomal RNA". It matches the Rfam family "Bacterial small subunit ribosomal RNA", at positions 524 to 776 of the family's 1533-position model. The record is from RNAcentral.